Molecule: ribosomal RNA, 484 nt
Filed under: uncultured bacterium
Lineage: Bacteria
Description: partial 16S ribosomal RNA
Rfam family: Bacterial small subunit ribosomal RNA
Source: RNAcentral
AUUGAACGCUGGCGGCAGGCCUAACACAUGCAAGUCGAGCGGAUGAAGGGGGCUUGCUCCUGGAUUCAGCGGCGGACGGGUGAGUAAUGCCUAGGAAUCUGCCUGGUAGUGGGGGAUAACGUCCGGAAACGGGCGCUAAUACCGCAUACGUCCUGAGGGAGAAAGUGGGGGAUCUUCGGACCUCACGCUAUCAGAUGAGCCUAGGUCGGAUUAGCUAGUUGGUGGGGUAAAGGCCUACCAAGGCGACGAUCCGUAACUGGUCUGAGAGGAUGAUCAGUCACACUGGAACUGAGACACGGUCCAGACUCCUACGGGAGGCAGCAGUGGGGAAUAUUGGACAAUGGGCGAAAGCCUGAUCCAGCCAUGCCGCGUGUGUGAAGAAGGUCUUCGGAUUGUAAAGCACUUUAAGUUGGGAGGAAGGGCAGUAAGUUAAUACCUUGCUGUUAUGACGUUACCAACAGAAUAAGCACCGGCUAACUUCGUG